GACGUAGGGCGCGAGCGUUGUCCGGAUUUAUUGGGCGUAAAGAGCUCGUAGGCGGCUUGUCGCGUCGUCCGUGAAAACUUGGGGCUCAACCCCAAGCUUGCGGUCGAUACGGGCAGGCUAGAGUUCGGUAGGGGAGACUGGAAUUCCUGGUGUAGCGGUGAAAUGCGCAGAUAUCAGGAGGAACACCGGUGGCGAAGGCGGGUCUCUGGGCCGCAACUGACGCUGAGGAGCGAAAGCAUGGGGAGCGAACAGG
Molecule: ribosomal RNA, 253 nt
Filed under: uncultured bacterium
Lineage: Bacteria
Description: partial 16S ribosomal RNA
Rfam family: Bacterial small subunit ribosomal RNA
Source: RNAcentral